AGCGGAGGAAAAGAAACCAACAGGGAUUGCCCCAGUAACGGCGAGUGAAGCGGCAACAGCUCAAAUUUGAAAUCUGGCCCCAGGCCCGAGUUGUAAUUUGCAGAGGAUGCUUUUGGCACGGUGCCUUCCGAGUUCCCUGGAACGGGACGCCAUAGAGGGUGAGAGCCCCGUACGGUUGGACACCAAGCCUUUGUAAAGCUCCUUCGACGAGUCGAGUAGUUUGGGAAUGCUGCUCUAAAUGGGAGGUACAUUUCUUCUAAAGCUAAAUAUUGGCCAGAGACCGAUAGCGCACAAGUAGAGUGAUCGAAAGAUGAAAAGCACUUUGAAAAGAGGGUUAAACAGCACGUGAAAUUGUUAAAAGGGAAGCGCUUGUGACCAGACUUGCGUCCGGUGAAUCACCCAGCUCUCGCGGCUGGGGCACUUCGCCGGCACAGGCCAGCAUCAGCUUGCCGUCGGGGACAAAAGCUUCAGGAACGUGGCUCCUCUCGGGGAGUGUUAUAGCCUGUUGCACAAUACCCUUCGGCGGGCUGAGGUACGCGCUCCGCAAGGAUGCUGGCGUAAUGGUCAUCAGCGACCCGUCUUG
RNAcentral lists this ribosomal RNA (583 nucleotides) under uncultured fungus. RNAcentral describes it as "eukaryotic LSU rRNA". It matches the Rfam family "Eukaryotic large subunit ribosomal RNA", at positions 49 to 656 of the family's 3401-position model. The record is from RNAcentral. Lineage: Eukaryota; Fungi.